RNAcentral lists this ribosomal RNA (398 nucleotides) under Oxyloma sp. 2 ZZ-2018. Its description in RNAcentral is "partial 16S ribosomal RNA". It matches the Rfam family "Bacterial large subunit ribosomal RNA", at positions 1859 to 2608 of the family's 2925-position model. The record is from RNAcentral. Lineage: Eukaryota; Metazoa; Mollusca; Gastropoda; Stylommatophora; Succineidae.
CUGCUCAAUGAAAUUUUUAAAUAGCCGCAGUACUUUGACUGUGCUAAGGUAGCAUAAUCAAUUGUCUCUUAAUUGGGGACUAGAAUGAAUGAAUUUAUGGUUAAAUAUUUUAUUUAUAUGUCUUAUUAAAAAUUAUUUAUUAGGUGAAAAUCCCUAAAAACUUUUAUUAGACGAGAAGACCCCAGGAAUUUGUUUUUUUUUUAUUGGGGCGAUAUCUAAACAUUUAAACUUUAGAUUUUAUUAUAAAACGAAUAAUUUUAAUAAAGGAAAAAUUACCCUGGGGAUAACAGCAUAAUUUUUUUAAAAGAUUGUGACCUCGAUGUUGGAUUAAAAAAUUUUUUACUUAAAGAGUAAGAUUUAAUGUUCUGUUCGAACACUUUUACUUCUACGUGAUCUGA